This is a long non-coding RNA of Herpailurus yagouaroundi (jaguarundi), 204 nucleotides long. RefSeq lists it as uncharacterized. The record is from RefSeq and is a predicted model, not a curated record. The transcript is spliced from 3 exons. NCBI's taxonomy places the organism in Eukaryota, Metazoa, Chordata, Mammalia, Carnivora, Felidae.
CCAUUUUUGGACACCCCACCUGUAGAAAAUGAAUUUAAAAUUUUGUAUGUCUUGCCUAUUGUUCGAUGUGAGCACCGUUACAUUUUUCUAGACUUAGUUUGCUAUACCCUAAGAUUAUGAAAAUACUUACUAACCAGCAUUUUCUCGCUUCUGUAAUCUUGCUUGCUUAACACAUUCCUCCCCUUCCCCCUUCCCCCUUCCCCU